UGGUUGUGUCUCUAGCUACGAACACAAGGAAAGAUCCAGUUGGCUCACUCCUACUGCCCCAGAACAUUCCUUCUGGGCCCCCACAUCUGGUGCGCAACAGAGCAGGUAAGGAAUUCAAGGAACCUGAUAAGUAAAUCCAGAAGAUUGAAGGGUGUGAAGAGAACAAGAAAUGAAGAAGCAGCAGACACAGACUACUAGAAACAUGCCUCAUAGUGUGGUGGACCUUUUAAUUCUUAGAAGCCUGGUAAUGCCUUGUAAUUAACUGAUGUUUUCUGCCUUUUACAACUAUGAGAAGAAAAUGCAUAUUUUCAUUGCCUUCUACAAGCAGCACAAAGAAAUGCUGGCGUUCCCUUGUUAAUGAUGCUGGGGAACCAAGAACGGGAUCUGAAGUCA
Erinaceus europaeus (western European hedgehog) is the source of this 393-nucleotide long non-coding RNA. RefSeq lists it as uncharacterized. The record is from RefSeq and is a predicted model, not a curated record. Lineage: Eukaryota; Metazoa; Chordata; Mammalia; Eulipotyphla; Erinaceidae. The transcript has 2 exons.